AUGAACGCUGGCGGCGUGCUUCACACCUGCAAGUCGCACGAUGAAGCCCAGCUUGCUGGGUGGAUUAGUGGCGAACGGGUGAGUAACACGUGAGUAACCUGCCCUUAACUCUGGGAUAAGCCUGGGAAACUGGGUCUAAUACCGGAUAGGAGCGUCCACCGCAUGGUGGGUGUUGGAAAGAUUUAUCGGUUUUGGAUGGACUCGCGGCCUAUCAGCUUGUUGGUGAGGUAAUGGCUCACCAAGGCGACGACGGGUAGCCGGCCUGAGAGGGUGACCGGCCACACUGGGACUGAGACACGGCCCAGACUCCUACGGGAGGCAGCAGUGGGGAAUAUUGCACAAUGGGCGCAAGCCUGAUGCAGCGACGCCGCGUGAGGGAUGACGGCCUUCGGGUUGUAAACCUCUUUCAGUAGGGAAGAAGCGAAAGUGACGGUACCUGCAGAAGAAGCACCGGCUAACUACGUG
Molecule: ribosomal RNA, 465 nt
Filed under: uncultured bacterium
Lineage: Bacteria
Description: partial 16S ribosomal RNA
Rfam family: Bacterial small subunit ribosomal RNA
Source: RNAcentral